GUUCUCAUCGAUCAUUUAAUAGAACCGUUCAAAAUACUUGAUUCGUUCGCGAAAGUCCCAUCUCCAUUGAGGCGUUAUGGUUGACUUUCUUCCUCCAUCGACGACCGUCUGUGUUUGUGACAAAGGUGUGGCACUGGCCCUUCUCCAUGGCUGUCCUCCGAUAUACAGCGAAUUGUGUGGUUAGCUUAAGGCUCGAUUGUGUGUCCAAGGAAGCCGUUUUACUGCCGCGUUAAAGACACCGCAUGGAAACAAUUAAGAAUUGGAAAUAAAAUGAACGGAAGGUACACGGACCUGAAUCGAGCAUCAAUUCUGAAUGGAUUGCCCUCAGGCGCCAACAACAUCCCCGACACGGCGCUGCAAAAGGAGACUAAAAGGCCCUGCAGGCUCCAAUUAGUAAAAUAGACGAGAACUUUCAUUCAGCUGCUUGGCAUCGAGCAUGAAAGUGGGAUUCAAGCUCUGAUUUCAAAGAAGGCUGCUGGAAAAUACAAAAAUGCUUACUGCCGCUUUUCUUUGAAAAAAAUGAACGCAAUCGGCUCCAUUAACAAAUGAGAAAUAUUAAAAACAUAGGAGGAGAUUGAUUUAACAGGAGAAAAAUGGCAGCACAUUUGCAGAAAAAAAAAGUUGAAGUAGGCAAGCAAAUAGUGCAUAGCUAAGGCAACAUAAAUAUGGUCCAUAAAUCAUCCCUGUGUUUGGAUUGUGGACCUUUUAUUGAUGGGCUGCUAAAGGGCUGAAUGAUGUGUAAAUCAUCUGCAGGUCCAUGGAGAAGGCUGAGCGGAUGCAGGCUAACAUGGCAGAAAGUCUAAAAUGCAUUUUUAUGACAAACCAUAAAAUGUGGCAAACUAAGAUUUCAUUCCUACAUUUAAUACAGAGGUGUGGCCUCAGUCAUAAAAAUGGUAAAAAAAAAUAGCCAAAUAUUUGUCUUUAUGACUGAAUGCUUAAUUAAAUGUUUGUUUUAUGCCCUUUUUAUUGAAGAAAACCCAUUUUUAAAUGCAAAAUACAUUAAAUAUGCAAUAUUUUUCCCCCCAAAAAAUAUUUCAAAGUGGAAUAUUUGAUGUGAAGUCAUUAGAGCCUUAACCAGGUCAAUCAUUCAUUUAAUUGAUUGAUUCAUGACAGUGGUCAGGUGAGCCUCCUGAAGAAGACUGCAGAUGACAGUCGAAACAUGUCAGGUGAAAAAUUGCAUCUAAAAGAACAAGUGAUUUGAUUCAUUAUUAUUUUUUGAGAAAUGACCGCACAUUUAAAAAGAAAACAAAAAACUUUCAACACUUCAAUCAAUCAAUUCAAAUUUUAAUUGCCUUUUUUAAAAUGGUUUGUUUUAUGCACUUUUUGUAAAAAAAUACACACUUGAGUUUUUAUAAAUGGAAAACAGAAUAAAUAUGCCAUAUUAUCCCCCAAAAAUGCAUUAUUUUUGAGUAAUGACAAUAAAAAAAUACUUUCCAAUUCUUUGAGCAAAAAGGGUUAUAAAUAAGACUUGUAAGUGUCUAGAUCAAUUUCAGAUCCAUCCAUCAGUUAUAAGUUGUUAUUACUUCCUUUUAAAUGUGUUUGUUUUAUAUGGAAAACACAAAAUAUGCAAUUUUUC
Long non-coding RNA from Nerophis ophidion (straightnose pipefish), 1576 nucleotides. RefSeq lists it as uncharacterized. NCBI's taxonomy places the organism in Eukaryota, Metazoa, Chordata, Actinopteri, Syngnathiformes, Syngnathidae. The transcript has 5 exons. The record is from RefSeq and is a predicted model, not a curated record.